UUUCCGUAGGUGAACCUGCGGAAGGAUCAUUAUUGAAAUAAACCUGAUGGGUUGCUGCUGGCUCUCUUGGGAGCAUGUGCACACUUGUCAUCUUUAUAUCUCCACCUGUGCACCUUUUGUAGAUCUGGAUAUCUUUCUGAAUGCCUGGCAUUCAGGUUUGAGGAUUGACUUUUGUCUUUCCUUACAUUUCCAGGCCUAUGUUUUCUUCAUAUACACCAUGUAUGUUAUAGAAUGUAAUGAAAAGGGCCUUUGUGCCUACAAACCUUAUACAACUUUCAGCAACGGAUCUCUUGGCUCUCGCAUCGAUGAAGAACGCAGCGAAAUGCGAUAAGUAAUGUGAAUUGCAGAAUUCAGUGAAUCAUCGAAUCUUUGAACGCACCUUGCGCUCCUUGGUAUUCCGAGGAGCAUGCCUGUUUGAGUGUCAUUAAUAUAUCAACCUCCUUCAUGUUUUUACUUGUUGAGUGUUUGGAUGUGGGGGUAUCUUUUGCUGGUCUCUUUGGAGGUCGGCUCCCCUGAAAUGCAUUAGCGGAACAAUUUGUUGACUCGUUCAUUGGUGUGAUAACUAUCUACGCUAUUGACGUGAAGCAGGUUCAGCUUCUAACAGUCCAUUGACUUGGACAAAUUUUCAUUAAUGUGACCUCAAAUCAGGUAGGACUACCCGCUGAACUUAA
RNAcentral lists this ribosomal RNA (671 nucleotides) under Cortinarius purpureus. RNAcentral describes it as "partial ribosomal RNA". The stretch from base 271 to 424 matches the Rfam family "5.8S ribosomal RNA". Lineage: Eukaryota; Fungi; Basidiomycota; Agaricomycetes; Agaricales; Cortinariaceae. The record is from RNAcentral.